UACGUAGGGGGCGAGCGUUAUCCGGAAUUACUGGGUGUAAAGGGAGCGUAGGCGGGGAUGCAAGUUGGGUGUCAAAACUACCGGCUCAACUGGUAGUCGCACUCAAAACUGCAACUCUUGAGUGAAGUAGAGGCAGGCGGAAUUCCUAGUGUAGCGGUGAAAUGCGUAGAUAUAUGGAAGAACACCAGUGGCGAAAGCGGCUCUCUGGUCUGUAACUGACGCUGAGGUUCGAAAGCGUGGGUAGCAAACAGG
RNAcentral lists this ribosomal RNA (252 nucleotides) under uncultured Ruminococcus sp. RNAcentral's name for it is "partial 16S ribosomal RNA". It matches the Rfam family "Bacterial small subunit ribosomal RNA", at positions 524 to 776 of the family's 1533-position model. Lineage: Bacteria; Bacillati; Bacillota; Clostridia; Eubacteriales; Oscillospiraceae. The record is from RNAcentral.